RNAcentral lists this ribosomal RNA (353 nucleotides) under uncultured bacterium. RNAcentral's name for it is "bacterial SSU rRNA". It matches the Rfam family "Bacterial small subunit ribosomal RNA", at positions 917 to 1271 of the family's 1533-position model. The record is from RNAcentral.
GGGCCCGCACAAGCGGUGGAGCAUGUGGUUUAAUUCGAUGAUACGCGAGGAACCUUACCAGGGCUUAAAUGUAGUAUGACCGGUCUAGAAAUAGGCCUUCCCUUCGGGGCAGAUUACAAGGUGCUGCAUGGUUGUCGUCAGCUCGUGCCGUGAGGUGUUAGGUUAAGUCCUGCAACGAGCGCAACCCCUAUUCUUAGUUGCCAGCGGUUCGGCCGGGGACUCUAAGAAGACUGCCAGCGCAAGCUGAGAGGAAGGUGGGGAUGACGUCAAAUCAUCACGGCCCUUACGUCCUGGGCUACACACGUGCUACAAUGGUACAGACAGAGGGCAGCCACCUGGCGACAGGGAGCGAA